Molecule: ribosomal RNA, 253 nt
Filed under: uncultured bacterium
Lineage: Bacteria
Description: partial 16S ribosomal RNA
Rfam family: Bacterial small subunit ribosomal RNA
Source: RNAcentral
UACAGAGGUCUCAAGCGUUGUUCGGAUUCAUUGGGCGUAAAGGGUGCGUAGGCGGCGCGGUAAGUCGGGUGUGAAAUCUCGGGGCUUAACUCCGAAACUGCAUUCGAUACUGCCGUGCUUGAGGACUGGAGAGGAGACUGGAAUUUACGGUGUAGCGGUGAAAUGCGUAGAUAUCUGGAGGAACACCGGUGGCGAAGGCGGCAUCCUGGACCGAUACUGACGCUGAGGAGCGAAAGCCAGGGGAGCAAACGGG